This 241-nucleotide ribosomal RNA is filed under the name uncultured bacterium. RNAcentral's name for it is "partial 16S ribosomal RNA". It matches the Rfam family "Bacterial small subunit ribosomal RNA", at positions 1252 to 1500 of the family's 1533-position model. The record is from RNAcentral.
ACCUGGCGACAGGGCGCGGAACCCGAAAACCUAGUCUCAGUUCGGAUUGGAGUCUGCAACCCGACUCCAUGAAGCUGGAUUCGCUAGUAAUCGCGCAUCAGCCACGGCGCGGUGAAUACGUUCCCGGGCCUUGUACACACCGCCCGUCAAGCCAUGGAAGCCGGGAGUGCCUGAAGUGCGUGACCGCAAGGAGCGUCCUAAGGCAAUACCGGUGACUGGGGCUAAGUCGUAACAAGGUACC